This 830-nucleotide ribosomal RNA is filed under the name uncultured bacterium. RNAcentral's name for it is "bacterial SSU rRNA". It matches the Rfam family "Bacterial small subunit ribosomal RNA", at positions 67 to 895 of the family's 1533-position model. The record is from RNAcentral.
UGGUCAAGUGGGGGAACCCUGGCGGCGAGCGGCGAACGGGUGAGUAACGCGUAGGAAUCUACCUGAUAGAGGGGGAUAGCCCGGGGAAACUCGGAUUAAUACCGCAUACGCCCUACGGGGGAAAGCAGGGGAUCUUCGGACCUUGCGCUAUCAGAUGAGCCUGCGUCGGAUUAGCUAGUUGGUGAGGUAAAGGCUCACCAAGGCGACGAUCCGUAGCUGGUCUGAGAGGAUGAUCAGCCACACUGGAACUGAGACACGGUCCAGACUCCUACGGGAGGCAGCAGUGGGGAAUAUUGGACAAUGGGGGAAACCCUGAUCCAGCCAUGCCGCGUGUGUGAAGAAGGCCCUAGGGUUGUAAAGCACUUUAAGCAGGGAGGAAAGGGUGAUGGCUAAUAUCCAUCAUCAUUGACGCUACCUGCAGAAUAAGCACCGGCUAACUUCGUGCCAGCAGCCGCGGUAAUACGAAGGGUGCAAGCGUUAAUCGGAAUUACUGGGCGUAAAGCGCGCGUAGGCGGUUUGGUAAGUGUGAUGUGAAAUCCCCGGGCUCAACCUGGGAACUGCAUCACAUACUGUCAGGCUAGAGUACGGUAGAGGGGGGUAGAAUUCCACGUGUAGCGGUGAAAUGCGUAGAGAUGUGGAGGAAUACCAGUGGUGAAGGCGGCCCCCUGGAUCGAUACUGACGCUGAGGUGCGAAAGCGUGAGGAGCAAACAGGAUUAGAUACCCUGGUAGUCCUAGCCGUAAACGAUGAGCACUAGGUGUUGGGGGGUUACCUUCAGCGCCGUAAGAUAACUCGUUAAGUGCUCCACCUGGGGACUACGACCGCAAGGUU